This is a long non-coding RNA of Bos taurus (domestic cattle), 823 nucleotides long. The record is from Ensembl. NCBI's taxonomy places the organism in Eukaryota, Metazoa, Chordata, Mammalia, Artiodactyla, Bovidae.
UGUCUGAAAUCCACAGAUUAAAGGCUCCAUGUUAAUAAAACAUCAUCAUGAAUGCCAAAAAGGGCCAGUUCCUUGGUUUCACAUGUCAUGACUAAAGUUUUAUUUUUUCCUCUCCACAGUCACAGUCUGCUUCAUCAGAGUUACAAGAGCCAUUUGGAUGUCCUUCUUUUUGCUCUGUCGUUGACAGUUAGUAUUUGAGUUAGGAAAAUGGGGAUCUUCUCCACCCAGGGAUCAAAUCCAUAUCUCCUGCAUUGGCAGUGGUUUCCUGGGACUUCUGGAACAAAAGACCACAGGCCAGGUUGCUUCAUACAACAAAAAGUCUCUAGAAGUUCUGGAGUGCAGGAGGAUGAAGCCAGGUGUUGUCUCAUUCACAGGUUCUGAGUGCACAUGUCUUUUGGGAGGCACUACUAACCCCAGCAGAGACAUCACUUUGCCAACAAAGAUCUGUCUAGUCAAAGCUAUGGUUUUUCCAGUAGUCCUGCAUGGAUGUGAGAGUUGGACCAUAAAGAAGGCUGAGCACCAAAGAAUUGAUGCUUUCAAAUUGUGCUAGAGAAGAUUCUUGAAAGUCUGUUGGACAGUAAGGAGAUCAAACUUGUCAAUCCUAAAGGAAAUCAACCCUGAAUACUCACUGGAAGGACUGAUGCUAAAGCUGAAGCUGCAAUAGUUUGGCCACCUGAUGCGAAGAGCUGACUCAUUGGAAAAGACUCUGAUGCUGGGAAAGAUUGAAGGCAAAAGGAGAAGGGGGUGGCAAAAGAUGAGAUGAUUAGAUAGCAUCACUGACUCAGUGAACAUGAAUCUGAGCAAACUCUGGGACAUAGUAAAG